RNAcentral lists this ribosomal RNA (497 nucleotides) under uncultured bacterium. RNAcentral's name for it is "partial 16S ribosomal RNA". It matches the Rfam family "Bacterial small subunit ribosomal RNA", at positions 28 to 507 of the family's 1533-position model. The record is from RNAcentral.
GAUGAACGCUGGCGGCGUGCCUAAUACAUGCAAGUCGAGCGAACGGACGAGAAGCUUGCUUCUCUGAUGUUAGCGGCGGACGGGUGAGUAACACGUGGAUAACCUACCUAUAAGACUGGGAUAACUUCGGGAAACCGGAGCUAAUACCGGAUAAUAUUUUGAACCGCAUGGUUCAAAAGUAAAAGACGGUCUUGCUGUCACUUAUAGAUGGAUCCGCGCUGCAUUAGCUAGUUGGUAAGGUAACGGCUUACCAAGGCAACGGUGCAUAGCCGACCUGAGAGGGUGAUCGGCCACACUGGAACUGAGACACGGUCCAGACUCCUACGGGAGGCAGCAGUAGGGAAUCUUCCGCAAUGGGCGAAAGCCUGACGGAGCAACGCCGCGUGAGUGAUGAAGGUCUUCGGAUCGUAAAACUCUGUUAUUAGGGAAGAACAUAUGUGUAAGUAACUGUGCACAUCUUGACGGUACCUAAUCAGAAAGCCACGGCUAACUACGUG